UGGGAUUUCAGUUGAGAUCUCUCAACCUUGAGAAGUCUAGGAGGAGAGGUCUGGUCAAACCUUUCUCCUGGGAUAUACCCAUCUCUUUCUUCUCCUGGUGACUGGACAUUUUCUCCACCAAUUCCCAACUAAAGGAACAUCUGAAGAAGACAUUUGAGCCUCUGUAAACUUUACCUCAUAGCUCCUGGUGCCAUGGGGCUAAACUGUGGCCAGGGGGCCAAAGACCAGGGCCAAUCAACUUGAUUCUUUUUUCAGGGUGCUCAUGAUGCCAAGGCCUGAGUUCCCUCUAGACUUGAGAAAGGAGGGAAAAGGGAUAGUCAGAAAAGGGACAUCUACCUAAUUUUCCUCACCCAUUCUUUCCCUGCCAGCCAUUUUCUUUGUGUUACCCUAGUUGAUUUAAUUUAUGUUAAAAUUGUUAUCUUUUCCCAAAUUGACUCAAGUGUGAGUGGAAUAGCUUAAGUGGAGGGGGGGGGAGAGUAAUCUUCUUGAGAAGAAAUCUUUUAGGUUCUAGUAGUGGAGGGAGACAAGAGCCAAUCUGUAAGAGCAGCCAUAGCUGAAAAGGGAAGGCUGAAGGGGAAAAUUAAUCAAAACCUCCUUUUCUUUCUCUGAGCCAACCUUAAACCAUCAUCUGUCUCUCCUGGAUCCCAUUUUCUCUUUACCAUCAACCAAUCCCUUCCUUAUACAAGACACCAAAGAGAGAGUAGAAUCCUUCCUUCCUUCCUUCCUUCCUUCCUUCCUUCCUUCCUUCCUUCCUUCCUUCCUUCCUUCCUUCCUUCCUUCCUUCCUUCCUUCCUUCCUUCCUUCCUUCCUUCCUUCCUUCCUUCCUUCCUUCCUUCCUUCCUUCCUUCCUUCCUUUCUUUUCCUCCCUCCCUCUCUCCUGCCCCACUCAGCCUCCCCCCUCAAAACUAGACAACUCUGCCUGGGGCAUUGAUCUUCACUAAGGAGAAAGUCUAUAUCAAUGGACUUUGGGACUCAAGUCACAUGAGAAAGAUAGAACGGAUUACAGAAGAAUGCUGAGGUACACUUGAACUUGUUCUGCCCUAGUCAGACCAUAUCUCAAGUAUUAUGUUUAAUUUUAGGUGCCACUGUUUCAGAAGGAUAUUGAUUAGUUUGAG
Molecule: long non-coding RNA, 1115 nt
Filed under: Monodelphis domestica (gray short-tailed opossum)
Lineage: Eukaryota; Metazoa; Chordata; Mammalia; Didelphimorphia; Didelphidae
Description: lncRNA (ENSMODG00000050091.1)
Source: RNAcentral